RNAcentral lists this ribosomal RNA (446 nucleotides) under uncultured bacterium. Its description in RNAcentral is "partial 16S ribosomal RNA". It matches the Rfam family "Bacterial small subunit ribosomal RNA", at positions 338 to 795 of the family's 1533-position model. The record is from RNAcentral.
CCUACGGGGCGCAGCAGUCGAGAAUCAUUCACAAUGGGGGAAACCCUGAUGGUGCGACGCCGCGUGGGGGAAUGAAGGUCUUCGGAUUGUAAACCCCUGUCAUGUGGGAGCAAAUUAAAAAGAUAGUACCACAAGAGGAAGAGACGGCUAACUCUGUGCCAGCAGCCGCGGUAAUACAGAGGUCUCAAGCGUUGUUCGGAAUCACUGGGCGUAAAGCGUGCGUAGGCUGUUUCGUAAGUCGUGUGUGAAAGGCGCGGGCUCAACCCGCGGACGGCACAUGAUACUGCGAGACUAGAGUAGUGGAGGGGGAACCGGAAUUCUCGGUGUAGCAGUGAAAUGCGUAGAUAUCGAGAGGAACACUCGUGGCGAAGGCGGGUUCCUGGACAUUAACUGACGCUGAGGCACGAAGGCCAGGGGAGCGAAAGGGAUUAGAUACCCGUGUAGUC